This 253-nucleotide ribosomal RNA is filed under the name uncultured bacterium. Its description in RNAcentral is "partial 16S ribosomal RNA". It matches the Rfam family "Bacterial small subunit ribosomal RNA", at positions 524 to 776 of the family's 1533-position model. The record is from RNAcentral.
UACGUAGACCACAAGCGUUAUCCGGAUUUAUUGGGCGUAAAGAGCAUGUAGGAGGUCGUAUGCGUUUCUGGUUAAAGCCCACCGCCUAACGGUGGAAGUGCCGGGAAUACGAUACGACUGGAGGAGGUGAGAGGUGCAUGGAACUCACGGUGUAGGGGUGAAAUCCGUUGAUAUCGUGGGGAACACCAAAGGCGAAGGCAGUGCACUGGUACCUUCCUGACUCUGAGAUGCGAAAGCGUGGGGAGCAAAAAGG